GUGUUACUGACGCUAAAGCUCGAAAGUGCGGGUAUCGAACAGGAUUAGAUACCCUGGUAGUCCGCACGGUAAACGAUGGAUGCCCGCUGUUUGCCCUUCGGGGUGAGUGGCUAAGCGAAAGCGUUAAGCAUCCCACCUGGGGAGUACGCCGGCAACGGUGAAACUCAAAGGAAUUGACGGGGGCCCGCACAAGCGGAGGAACAUGUGGUUUAAUUCGAUGAUACGCGAGGAACCUUACCCGGGCUUGAAUUGCAGAUGACGGAUCUAGAGAUAGAUUUUUCCUUCGGGACAUCUGUGAAGGUGCUGCAUGGUUGUCGUCAGCUCGUGCCGUGAGGUGUCGGCUUAAGUGCCAUAACGAGCGCAACCCUUCUCUUCAGUUGCCAUCAGGUUAAGCUGGGCACUCUGGAGACACUGCCACCGUAAGGUGUGAGGAAGGUGGGGAUGACGUCAAAUCAGCACGGCCCUUACGUCCGGGGCUACACACGUGUUACAAUGGCCGGUACAGAAAGUCGGAUGCCCGUAAGGUCAUUCUAAUCAAGAAAGCCGGUCCCAGUUCGGACUGAGGUCUGCAACCCGACCUCACGAAGCUGGAUUCGCUAGU
Molecule: ribosomal RNA, 601 nt
Filed under: uncultured bacterium
Lineage: Bacteria
Description: bacterial SSU rRNA
Rfam family: Bacterial small subunit ribosomal RNA
Source: RNAcentral